AAGUUCUUAUCGGAUUAUAUAAGUCUACUGCAUACCGAGUAGCGACCCAGCGCUUUCUUAGCAAUAAGAAUUGUGAGUGUAAGAGGGAAAACCAAGUGGUAACUCCAUUGUCAGUGUUUUCACGUUCGAACUCUCUGGGAAUGU
Molecule: long non-coding RNA, 144 nt
Organism: Bradysia coprophila
Lineage: Eukaryota; Metazoa; Arthropoda; Insecta; Diptera; Sciaridae
Source: RefSeq, a predicted model, not a curated record